AACGAACGCUGGCGGCAGGCUUAACACAUGCAAGUCGAGCGCCCCGCCAGGGGAGCGGCAGACGGGUGAGUAACGCGUUGGAACGUACCUUUUGGUUCGGAACAACUCCGGGACACUGGAGCUAAUACCGGAUAAGCCCUAACGGGGAAAGAUUUAUCGCCGAAAGAUCGGCCCGCGUCUGAUUAGCUAGUUGGUGAGGUAACGGCUCACCAAGGCGACGAUCAGUAGCUGGUCUGAGAGGAUGAUCAGCCACACUGGGACUGAGACACGGCCCAGACUCCUACGGGAGGCAGCAGUGGGGAAUAUUGGACAAUGGGCGCAAGCCUGAUCCAGCCAUGCCGCGUGAGUGAUGAAGGCCUUAGGGUUGUAAAGCUCUUUUGUCCGGGAAGAUAAUGACUGUACCGGAAGAAUAAGCCCCGGCUAACUUCGUG
Molecule: ribosomal RNA, 431 nt
Filed under: uncultured bacterium
Lineage: Bacteria
Description: partial 16S ribosomal RNA
Rfam family: Bacterial small subunit ribosomal RNA
Source: RNAcentral